Molecule: ribosomal RNA, 424 nt
Filed under: uncultured bacterium
Lineage: Bacteria
Description: partial 16S ribosomal RNA
Rfam family: Bacterial small subunit ribosomal RNA
Source: RNAcentral
AAUUUUGGACAAUGGGGGAAACCCUGAUCCAGCCAUAACGCGUGUAUGAUGAAGGCCUUCGGGUUGUAAAGUACUUUUGGCAGAGAAGAAAAGGUAUCUCCUAAUACGUGAUAUUGCUGACGUUAUCUGCUGAAUAAGCACCGGCUAACUACGUUCCGUCAUCCGCGGUAAUACGUAGGGUGCAAGCGUGAAUCGGAAUUACUGGGCGUAAAGCGUGACUAGGCGGUUCGGAAAGAAAGAUGUGAAAUCCCAGGGCUCAACCUUGGAACUGCAUUUUUAACUGCCGAGCUAGAGUAUGUCAGAGGGGAGUAGAAUUCCACGUGUAGCAGUGAAAUGCGUAGAUAUGUGGAGGAAUACCGAUGGCGAAGGCAGCCCCCUGGGAUAAUACUGACGCUCAGACACGAAAGCGUGGGGAGCAAACAGG